UGAGUCGGCCGGGUGGCCGCGGCACGGCUCGACCGUGUCGAGGAAAGUCGGGACUCCACAGGGCAGAGUGCUGGCGCGAGCCAGGUCGGGGCGACCUGACGGAAGUGCAACAGAGAGAGACCGCCGAUGGACCAGUUCGCUGGUCACAGGUAAGGGUGCAACGGUGCGGUAAGAGCGCACCAGCGUGCGGGGCGACUCGUACGGCUCGGUAAACCCCACUCGGAGCAAGGCCAAGCAGAGAGUACGGACGGCCCGUCCCGCCCGCCGCGAGGCAGGCAACUCUCGGGUAGGCCGCGUAGAUGGAUGGUCACCAGCUCGACUCCGGUCGGGCGACAGGAUCCCGCUUACAGGCCGACUCACCAC
Molecule: RNase P RNA, 363 nt
Filed under: Actinomycetota bacterium
Lineage: Bacteria; Bacillati; Actinomycetota
Description: RNase P RNA component class A
Rfam family: Bacterial RNase P class A
About the family: Ribonuclease P (RNase P) is a ubiquitous endoribonuclease, found in archaea, bacteria and eukarya as well as chloroplasts and mitochondria. Its best characterised activity is the generation of mature 5'-ends of tRNAs by cleaving the 5'-leader elements of precursor-tRNAs.
Source: RNAcentral